UACAGAGGUGGCAAGCGUUGUUCGGAAUUACUGGGCGUAAAGGGCGCGUAGGCGGCCUUCUAAGUCAGACGUGAAAUCCCCAGGCUUAACCUGGGAACUGCGUCUGAUACUGGAGGGCUUGAGUGCGGGAGAGGGAUGUGGAAUUCCGGUGUAGCGGUGAAAUGCGUAGAUAUCUGGAGGAACACCGGUGGCGAAGGCGGCAUCCUGGACCGACACUGACGCUGAGGCGCGAAAGCUAGGGUAGCAAACGGG
Molecule: ribosomal RNA, 252 nt
Filed under: uncultured bacterium
Lineage: Bacteria
Description: partial 16S ribosomal RNA
Rfam family: Bacterial small subunit ribosomal RNA
Source: RNAcentral